UAUACACUUGGUUCACUUGAAGAACUGUUUAUCAAUGUAGAAUUGUCAUUGUUGAAAGGUGCAAAAAUAAGGGAAAGUCUAUGGCAAAGGGAAGACUUCUGCUUUCUAGAGCUCUUCACUACAGCCCUGGAAAAAAAUAAGCCUCAAGAGCUAACGAAGAAUGAAUUGUUGGCUUCUGCCUUAUUUCAUCUCUGCCACAAGACUGGAAAUGCCUCAAAGUGAGAAGUGCUCAUUUCCUGAGAGUGACCUCAAAGCAAAAGGUUCAGUUAAUUCUAGCUUUCAAAGCCCUCACAGGAUUUCUGUCAUGGAUCAGUGGCACCUUCCAGGAGGGAGUGAGGUCAGUGGACAUCCUUGGUAU
Molecule: long non-coding RNA, 358 nt
Organism: Coturnix japonica (Japanese quail)
Lineage: Eukaryota; Metazoa; Chordata; Aves; Galliformes; Phasianidae
Source: RefSeq, a predicted model, not a curated record